GAUGAACGCUGGCGGCGUGCCUAACACAUGCAAGUCGAGCGAGGGUUUGCUCAGUAUUGAGUAUUCUAAGUCUAGAAUGUUCAAUUCUGAGCAAAACCAAGCGGCGGACGGGUGAGUAACGCGUGGGUAACCUGCCCUAUACACAUGGAUAACAUACUGAAAAGUUUACUAAUACAUGAUAAUAUAUAUUUGUGGCAUCGCAGAUAUAUCAAAGUGUUAGCGGUAUAGGAUGGACCCGCGUCUGAUUAGCUAGUUGGUGAGAUAACUGCCCACCAAGGCGACGAUCAGUAGCCGACCUGAGAGGGUGAUCGGCCACAUUGGAACUGAGACACGGUCCAAACUCCUACGGGAGGCAGCAGUGGGGAAUAUUGCACAAUGGGCGAAAGCCCGAUGCAGCAACGCCGCGUGAACGAUGAAGGUCUUCGGAUCGUAAAGUUCUGUUGCGGGGGAAGAUAAUGGCG
Molecule: ribosomal RNA, 461 nt
Filed under: Peptostreptococcus stomatis
Lineage: Bacteria; Bacillati; Bacillota; Clostridia; Peptostreptococcales; Peptostreptococcaceae
Description: bacterial SSU rRNA
Rfam family: Bacterial small subunit ribosomal RNA
Source: RNAcentral